Molecule: ribosomal RNA, 253 nt
Filed under: uncultured bacterium
Lineage: Bacteria
Description: partial 16S ribosomal RNA
Rfam family: Bacterial small subunit ribosomal RNA
Source: RNAcentral
UACGUAGGUGGCAAGCGUUGUCCGGAAUUACUGGGUGUAAAGGGCGUGUAGGCGGGGAUGCAAGUCAGAUGUGAAAUUCCGGGGCUCAACCUCGGAGCUGCAUCUGAAACUGCAACUCUUGAGUACUGGAGAGGAAAGUGGAAUUCCUAGUGUAGCGGUGAAAUGCGUAGAGAUUAGGAGGAACACCAGUGGCGAAGGCGGCUUUCUGGACAGUAACUGACGCUGAGGCGCGAAAGCGUGGGGAGCGAACAGG